CCUACGGGAGGCAGCAGUGGGGAAUAUUGCACAAUGGGGGAAACCCUGAUGCAGCGACGCCGCGUGAGUGAAGAAGUAUCUCGGUAUGUAAAGUUCUAUCAGCAGGGAAGAAAACGACCGUACCUUACCUAGAAGCCCCCGCCAACUACGUUCCAGCAGCCGCGGUAAUACGUAGGGGGGCAGCGUUAUCCGGAUUUACUGGGUGUAAAGGGAGCGUAGACGGCCGGGCAAGGCUGGAGUGAAAUGCCGGGGCGUAACCCCGGAACUGCCUUGGAAACUGUGCGGCUGGAGCGCAGGAGGGGUAAGCGGAAUUCCUGGUGUAGCGGUGAAAUGCGUAGAUAUCAGGAGGAACACCGGUGGCGAAGGCGGCUUACUGGACUGCAACUGACGUUGAGGCUCGAAAGCGUGGGGAGCAAACAGGAUUAGAUACCCCAGUAGUC
This 440-nucleotide ribosomal RNA is filed under the name uncultured bacterium. RNAcentral describes it as "partial 16S ribosomal RNA". It matches the Rfam family "Bacterial small subunit ribosomal RNA", at positions 338 to 795 of the family's 1533-position model. The record is from RNAcentral.